UACGUAGGGGGCAAGCGUUAUCCGGAUUUACUGGGUGUAAAGGGAGCGUAGACGGUAUGGUAAGUCAGAUGUGAAAGCCCGGGGCUCAACCCCGGGACUGCAUUUGAAACUAUCAAACUGGAGUGCAGGAGAGGUAAGUGGAAUUCCUAGUGUAGCGGUGAAAUGCGUAGAUAUUAGGAGGAACACCAGUGGCGAAGGCGACUUACUGGACUGUAACUGACGUUGAGGCUCGAAAGCGUGGGGAGCAAACAGGAUUAGAUACCCUGGUAGUCCCUGAG
RNAcentral lists this ribosomal RNA (278 nucleotides) under uncultured prokaryote. RNAcentral's name for it is "partial 16S ribosomal RNA". It matches the Rfam family "Bacterial small subunit ribosomal RNA", at positions 524 to 801 of the family's 1533-position model. The record is from RNAcentral.